CAAAAAGAAACUUCCCAUGCCGGGAAUCGAACCCGGGCCGCGUGGGUGAAAACCACGAAUCCUAACCACUAGACCACAUGGGAUCCG
This is a non-coding RNA of Caenorhabditis elegans, 87 nucleotides long. The record is from Ensembl. Lineage: Eukaryota; Metazoa; Nematoda; Chromadorea; Rhabditida; Rhabditidae.